This 916-nucleotide long non-coding RNA is filed under the name Oncorhynchus kisutch (coho salmon). RNAcentral's name for it is "lncRNA (ENSOKIG00005048294.1)". The record is from RNAcentral. Lineage: Eukaryota; Metazoa; Chordata; Actinopteri; Salmoniformes; Salmonidae.
AAAGCAGAUUAUUGGUUUUCUUUUUAACAGUUAAAGGCUCUAGAAUAUCUAGACACUACUCAAACUCCUAUCUCCGAGUAUGCACAUGUUUUGAGUGUGAAAAGUUAAUUGGUCAUUCCCGAGGGCACUGUUUCUUUCAAGCCGUGCUGGGUAGCCUACCUGUUACCUGACAAGCAACGGUGAUGGGUGUGGUUGGAUUGGGACAAAAGCCCUUUGCCCUGUUAUGACUUGCCUGAGAAAGUUGAGAGAAAAUAAAAAAAGAGGCAGGUAUAAGGACAAACCACUUCACUACCCUGCAACAGUAACAUCAACAACAUUCACUACCUGACGGAUAUCAGUUGGACUAUCUUAGUGGAUUUUUAUUUAUCUUCUUCAGAAGUUGACUGAAGAUUCUCCUAUUGACACACACUAAAGAUAACAUGGGAUGGAUGAUUUAACAACAAGAAAGAGAAACCACUCAGGAGGAAGCUCCGGGGGAAAGGUUGUGACAGAAACUACAACCUCGACAAGUAGAUUGGUAUCUUUACCUCCAAGUAAGUUUUCUGUACUCUUAAAAUUCCCCUCAAACUGUUAAAUUGUUUGAUUAAAGGUAUUGGUAAUGCAGUUUUGUAAUAAUUUGAUUAUCAUUUCACACUAUGUUUUUGUGAAUAUUCUGAGAGUUGGACUGCUCUAACACAUUGAAAGAACUGUUGAAGAAUGUGGCCAUGUAUCUCUUUAUCUACCAGAGGGUGGCAGUGGAUCAAAAAGUAGUACCCACAGGACUAUGUCUAGCAAUGCUGGAGGCCUGUGGUUGGAAAAGAACAUUUUAACCCAGAACAGCAGUGGAACUAACUUUUCCUCAUGUGAGAAUAGAUCUGUUAAAAUGUUAAUUUGUACAUUUUUAAUCUGGAACAUGGACAUUAGGCUAUGACUAUAA